This 497-nucleotide ribosomal RNA is filed under the name uncultured bacterium. RNAcentral describes it as "partial 16S ribosomal RNA". It matches the Rfam family "Bacterial small subunit ribosomal RNA", at positions 28 to 507 of the family's 1533-position model. The record is from RNAcentral.
GAUGAACGCUGGCGGCGUGCCUAAUACAUGCAAGUCGAGCGAACAGACGAGGAGCUUGCUCCUCUGACGUUAGCGGCGGACGGGUGAGUAACACGUGGAUAACCUACCUAUAAGACUGGGAUAACUUCGGGAAACCGGAGCUAAUACCGGAUAAUAUAUUGAACCGCAUGGUUCAAUAGUGAAAGACGGUUUUGCUGUAACUUAUAGAUGGAUCCGCGCCGCAUUAGCUAGUUGGUAAGGUAACGGCCUACCAAGGCAACGAUGCGUAGCCGACCUGAGAGGGUGAUCGUCCACACUGGAACUGAGACACGGUCCAGACUCCUACGGGAGGCAGCAGUAGGGAAUCUUCCGCAAUGGGCGAAAGCCUGACGGAGCAACGCCGCGUGAGGGAUGAAGGUCUUCGGAUCGUAAAACUCUGUUAUUUGGGAAGAACAAAUGUGUAAGUAACUAUGCACGUCUUGACGGUACCUAAUCAGAAAGCCACGGCUAACUACGUG